RNAcentral lists this non-coding RNA (105 nucleotides) under Acidiphilium cryptum. Its description in RNAcentral is "TPP sequence". It matches the Rfam family "TPP riboswitch aptamer (THI element)". From Rfam's summary of the family: Vitamin B(1) in its active form thiamin pyrophosphate (TPP) is an essential coenzyme that is synthesised by coupling of pyrimidine and thiazole moieties in bacteria. The previously detected thiamin-regulatory element, thi box was extended, resulting in a new, highly conserved RNA secondary structure, the THI element, which is widely distributed in eubacteria and also occurs in some archaea. Analysis of operon structures identified a large number of new candidate thiamin-regulated genes, mostly transporters, in various prokaryotic organisms. Lineage: Bacteria; Pseudomonadati; Pseudomonadota; Alphaproteobacteria; Acetobacterales; Acidocellaceae. RNAcentral also lists the same sequence under 1 other name. The record is from RNAcentral.
GUCUUAUCCGAGGGGUGCGUCGACGGACGCUGAGAGCCGGGAAGCCGGCAACCCUUUGAACCUGAUCCGGGUUGCGCCGGCGGAGGGACGGGAUCAUCCAGACCG